RNAcentral lists this ribosomal RNA (108 nucleotides) under Planctomycetota bacterium. The record is from RNAcentral. Lineage: Bacteria; Pseudomonadati; Planctomycetota.
CCCGGUGAUGAUAGGGGCUUGGCCAUACCCGUUCCCAUUCCGAACACGGUCGUCAAGCAAGUCCCGCCGAUGAUAUUGCGCAAGCGAGAAAGUAGGUGAUCGCCGGGG